RNAcentral lists this long non-coding RNA (241 nucleotides) under Homo sapiens (human). RNAcentral describes it as "HSALNT0114297". Lineage: Eukaryota; Metazoa; Chordata; Mammalia; Primates; Hominidae. The record is from RNAcentral.
CCCAAUGAAUGUGAAGCUGUGGAAUGUAUUGUGUCUCCACCAUAACAUCCAUGCCCUCAGGAAGAAAGAUUUGAACAGCCAAGGAUGACCAAUAGCUGAGGCUUAAAGACCAGAGCACCUAUAAGCUUCUUAUCAACACAGCAACUCAGAGAGGUCAGACUUGUUGCUCAGGACUACAAGAGCAAGCAUUUGAGUGGCCAAGAGUGAAUCUGCCUGGCCUUUUAUGACCUGGGCCUGGAAA